GGUGCUGUGGCUUAGUUGGACAAAGCGCCUGUCUAGCAAACUUUAAAUCCUUGGUUCAAAUCCCAGCAGUCCCU
RNAcentral lists this transfer RNA (74 nucleotides) under Danio rerio (zebrafish). It matches the Rfam family "tRNA". Rfam says of the family: Transfer RNA (tRNA) molecules are approximately 80 nucleotides in length. Their secondary structure includes four short double-helical elements and three loops (D, anti-codon, and T loops). The record is from Rfam by way of RNAcentral. Lineage: Eukaryota; Metazoa; Chordata; Actinopteri; Cypriniformes; Danionidae.